This 780-nucleotide ribosomal RNA is filed under the name uncultured Fibrobacter sp. RNAcentral's name for it is "bacterial SSU rRNA". It matches the Rfam family "Bacterial small subunit ribosomal RNA", at positions 163 to 947 of the family's 1533-position model. The record is from RNAcentral. Lineage: Bacteria; Pseudomonadati; Fibrobacterota; Fibrobacteria; Fibrobacterales; Fibrobacteraceae.
UUAAUGUCCAGGAGAGUGGCCCUCCGCAUGGAGGGUUGACUAGAGAUUUAUCGGUAUGGGAUGAGCUUGCGUCCGAUUAGCUAGUUGGCGGGGCAACGGCCCACCAAGGCGACGAUCGGUAGCCGGCCUGAGAGGGUGAUCGGCCACAUUGGGACUGAGAUACGGCCCAGACUCCUACGGGAGGCAGCAGUAGGGAAUAUUGCACAAUGGGGGAAACCCUGAUGCAGCAACGCCACGUGUGGGAAGAAGCAUUUCGGUGUGUAAACCACUAUCAUGAGGGAAUAAGGCCCGCCUCCGGGCGGGAUUGAAUGUACCUUGGGAGGAAGCACCGGCAAACUUCGUGCCAGCAGCCGCGGUAAUACGAGGGGUGCAAGCGUUGUUCGGAAUUACUGGGCGUAAAGGGAGCGUAGGCGGAGAUUCAAGCGGAUUGUACAAUCCCGGGGCCCAACCCCGGCUCUGCAGUCCGAACUGGAUCUCUUGGAUAGUUCAGGGGCAGGCGGAAUUCCUGGUGUAGCGGUGGAAUGCGUAGAGAUCAGGAAGAACACCGAUGGCGAAGGCAGCCUGCUGGGGACUUAUCGACGCUGAGGCUCGAAAGUGCGGGUAGCAAACAGGAUUAGAUACCCUGGUAGUCCGCACCGCAAACAAUGCAUACUGGGUGUCCGGGGGUUCCCCCGGGUACCGUAGCCAACGCGUUAAGUAUGCCGCCUGGGGAGUACGUACGCAAGUAUGAAACUCAAAGGAAUUGACGGGGGGCCGCACAAGCGGUGGAGCAUGUGGUUU